This 3533-nucleotide unclassified non-coding RNA is filed under the name Hevea brasiliensis (rubber tree). Lineage: Eukaryota; Viridiplantae; Streptophyta; Magnoliopsida; Malpighiales; Euphorbiaceae. The record is from RNAcentral.
CACACACUCUCUAUCUCUCUCUUCCUCUUCUCUUUCUUUCAGAAAAAAAAGGCCAUAGAAAAGUAAUAUUUUUUGGUGACAAAGAAAUCAUCUUUCUUUAGCAUUUCUUACUCUGACUCAUAAGAGAAAGACAACAAGGGGGAACCUAAAUUUGCAAUAAAAGAAGGAAAUUGCCACCCAAUAUACAUAAAAAAGCUUUGGAGAAUGAAUGGUCUUUCACAUCUUCAGCCAGAUUACUCUGAUUUUGUUGAAGUUGAUCCAACUGGAAGAUAUGGAAGAUAUAAUGAAAUUCUUGGCAGAGGAGCUUCAAAGACAGUUUACAGAGCAUUUGAUGAGUAUGAAGGGAUUGAAGUUGCUUGGAACCAGGUCAAGCUCUAUGAUUUCCUGCAAAGCCCUGAAGAUCUUGAAAGACUCUACUGUGAGAUUCAUCUGCUUAAGACAUUGAAGCAUAAGAACAUAAUGAAAUUUUAUACUUCUUGGGUUGAUACUGCAAAUAGGAACAUCAACUUUGUGACUGAAAUGUUCACCUCUGGGACUUUAAGACAGUACCGGUUAAAGCACAAGAGAGUUAACAUUAGAGCAGUGAAGAAUUGGUGUAGGCAGAUCUUGAGAGGACUUCUCUAUCUCCAUAGCCAUAACCCUCCUGUGAUCCAUAGAGAUCUAAAAUGCGAUAACAUUUUUGUCAAUGGAAACCAAGGUGAAGUGAAGAUUGGAGAUCUUGGCCUUGCUGCAAUUCUUCGAAAAUCGCAUGCUGCUCACUGUGUUGGUAUGCUUAAUUGACUAAAGUCCUGUGAAAUCUCUUUAUCCAUCACUAUGAACGGAGCUGAAAGAAUUUCUCAAGUAAUAUUUACGUUGUGGCAUAAUUUUUUCUCGUCUCUGGGCCUUUUCUUUCUUCAGGGACACCAGAGUUUAUGGCCCCAGAAGUGUAUGAAGAGGCAUAUAAUGAACUGGUGGAUAUUUAUUCUUUUGGGAUGUGCAUUUUGGAAAUGGUCACUUUUGAAUAUCCGUAUAGCGAAUGCACUCAUCCAGCUCAAAUCUAUAAGAAAGUUAUCUCUGUAAGACCUCUCUCUUUCUCUCUCCUUUUGCUCUUUCUCAGAAAUGAUAAAUUUGAUUCACCUACUUUAUCAUUUUAGGGCAGAAAACCUGAUGCUCUGUAUAAAGUGAAGGAUCCAGAAGUAAGGCAGUUUGUGGAGAAAUGUUUGGCAACUGUAUCACUUAGGCUCUCAGCUAGAGAGUUGUUGAAUGAUCCAUUUCUCCAAAUUGAUGACCGUGAAUCCAAUUUUAAACCUGUAGAUUAUGGGCCAGAAUUAGAUGGCAUGGGUCCACUCAUAAGGCAACCUUACCUUGAAUUUCAUGAAAAUACUUAUCCCUACAAUAAUGGAUACUCAAAUGGCUAUAGCUAUGAUGCUGAAAGUGAAUUGGAAUAUCAUCUGGUUGAUUUCGAACACAGUGGAAUCGAGCUGUUCGAGUAUCAUGAUGAAGAACAUUCUGCAAAUGUUGACAUAAGUAUAAAAGGGAAGAGGAGAGAUGAUGGUGGAAUUUUUUUAAGGCUCCGAAUUACAGAUAAAGAUGGUUAGCAAACUUCUUUUCUUCUUUUCUCUUACUUAUCAUUUCUGUACAGUGUUAACUUUCCAGUCUUCCCUGGUGAAUGUUCAACCUGGUACUUUAUUAUCUCCUUGCAGGUCGCAUUCGAAACAUAUAUUUCUCUUUCGACAUUGAAACUGAUACUGCAUUGAGUGUGGCCACUGAAAUGGUUGCAGAACUUGAUAUUACUGAUCAAGAUGUGACUAAAAUUGCAGAUAUGAUUGAUGGUGAGAUUGCUUACUUGGUUCCUGAAUGGAGGCCAGGGCCAGGCAUAGAGGAAACACCUCGCUUUGCAAAUCAAACCUUCUGUCACAAUUGUGCUUCCAAUCGAACCUCUAAUGGUUCACUUAUAGAUUUUCUAUCAAAUAAUCCAUGUUGUAGAAAUGGAUGUGCUUCCAUGCAUGGCCGAUUUGAAGAGAUUACAUUCCAGGCUGAUGAACCUGAGCUUCAUUCAACAGAAGGUGCUCCAAACAUACUGAGCCAUUCGGACUGCUUAGGCUAUCAGGAAAUUUGGGGUCAACAUGAAAGCCGCGAUCUUAUUCCAGUGGGAUCUGGAAGAAGCCAUUCAGAUGAAGAAUAUGAAAAAGUUGAUCAAUCAAUCACAACAAAGGAUGAGAAUAAUGUAAAGAUGGAAAAUGAAUUUCAUUCUGGUGCAGGGAAGUCAAUUCUACACUUAAGAAGUUCUGGUUCUUUUUGCAGACUUUCUUCAUUGUACAGUGACCUCUCAGACAGUAAUGAGAACAAAAUCCGGAAAGAAUUGAGAUGGCUUAAAGCGAAGUACCAUAUCGAAUUGGGAAAACUUAGAGAUCAACAAUUAGGAAUUGUAUCAAAAUCUUCAACUUCUAGCAAUAGAAACUGCAAACCAAGUAAUGGGGUUUUGUCAUCUGCAGUAAUGAAUUCAUUUCAAGGAAGUACCAAUGGAGAUCUCUUCAAAUCUUUAGGUCAUGAGAAGCUUUAUGGUCCCAAUUUGCAUAAUGAUGUCAAUAAUAGCCGCCCCAAUUUGGAUACCAGAAGGGCCCGAAAUUGUGUGGCGAUGAAGGAAUCCCCGAGAACAAGUGACAUGGUCACUGCCAAGAGUUUCUACAGUAGGUCAUUGCUUCCACAUUCACUUCACAGGACAACAUCCCUUCCAGUUGAUGCUGUUGAUGUAUAACAUAUGUAAGACACUUUCUUUCAUUCUUUUACGAGUUCCUUACUGUAGAGGCUUUAUUAUUAUACAAUCAACCUUUAUGGGGAGAGAACAAAAUCCACCCUCAAUGUGCUCAUGUCCUACUAGCCAGCUGCCAGCCUAUCUUGCACUUAUUAUCUCAUAUGUAAUUGUGAUGAGAGAUGCAAAGUUCUGACCCUAUAGAAUCUCAAAUGGGGAUGUGAUUCGAUGUAUUUUUAUCCAUUUGUCCCCCAGAAGUAAAAUGGUGCACAAUGUGAUGUUGGAGUUGGAGAGUGUAGAAGAAAGAUGGUUUGAGGCUUUUAUGAGAUCUUUAGAUAUAUUGAAUUGGUUGAGGAAUCCAUGUGCAAUACCUACUGGCUUUUAUUUGAACUACCAUCAGGGUGGUUAUUAUUAUUAGCUAUCAUGAGGAGAGAUUCAAUCAUUGAAGCUUGCAGGGCCUCCAGGUGUAAUGACUCAGUUGAAUUGGAGUCCCAUGUGCAUUUCUGUUCACCUUAAAUCUGUCAAGACCAGAGAGGCACUAAAUGCCUUUUCUUUUACUGUUCUUUUGAAGUGCAUAGCUAAAUCUCUAUUUCCGUAUUGAAUAAUUUGUUUUAUAUUUGGUAAGCAAGUUUAUUUUAUAGGGGGAUUGAGGGAAUGAGCUUCGAACUUGACACCUAAUGCUGAUGAGCAAUAGGUUAGACUGUAGUAAACAAGACUAUGCAUUUGGUAUACAAGUUACAGCUGACCAAUAAGAGGUUUUCUUGAGGGCUUCUGCUAUUUCUGGUAGAGCCCACACAUUAAG